RNAcentral lists this ribosomal RNA (586 nucleotides) under uncultured bacterium. Its description in RNAcentral is "bacterial SSU rRNA". It matches the Rfam family "Bacterial small subunit ribosomal RNA", at positions 338 to 916 of the family's 1533-position model. The record is from RNAcentral.
CCUACGGGAGGCAGCAGUAGGGAAUCUUCCACAAUGGGCGAAAGCCUGAUGGAGCAACGCCGCGUGAGUGAUGAAGGCCUUCGGGUUGUAAAACUCUGUCAUUCGGGACGAACCGGAGUCUGAGGAAAUGCAGACUCUCUGACGGUACCGGAGGAGGAAGCCCCGGCUAACUACGUGCCAGCAGCCGCGGUAAUACGUAGGGGGCAAGCGUUGUCCGGAUUCACUGGGCGUAAAGCGCGCGCAGGCGGUGAUGUAAGUCUGAGGUGAAAACCCGAAGCUCAACUUCGGGACUGCCUUGGAUACUGCGUCACUUGAGGAUAGGAGAGGCAAGGGGAAUUCCACGUGUAGCGGUGAAAUGCGUAGAGAUGUGGAGGAACACCUGUGGCGAAGGCGCCUUGCUGGCCUAUUUCUGACGCUGAGGCGCGAAAGCGUGGGGAGCAAACAGGAUUAGAUACCCUGGUAGUCCACGCUGUAAACGAUGAGUGCUAGGUGCAGGUGGGCUCAUACCCAUCUGUGCCGAAGCUAACGCAUUAAGCACUCCGCCUGGGGAGUACGGUCGCAAGACUGAACUCAAAUGAAUUGACGG